CACCGCCCGUCACACCAUGGGAAUAGGUUUCGCCCGAAGCAUCGGACCAAUGAUCACCCAUGACUUCUGUGUACCACUAGUGCCACAAAGGCUUUUGGUGGUCUUAUUGGCGCAUACCACAGUGGGGUUUUCGACUGGGGUGAAGUCGUAACAAGGCAACCGUAGGGGAACCUGUAGCUGGAUUGAAUCCUUCGCGAUGGAAAUUCCCUUCAAGGUGCUUGCUUCCACUGGUGGUGGGCGGGUGAAGGGUCCAAAGGACAUGUAGCCGGGGGCGAGUCAGAAAAUCCGAGAAUUCCAAUUUCCUUCUUGUUCAUCAAUCGAAAAUCAAGACAAACUGGGUACUACAGUGAGAUGUGAAAACACCCGAUCCCAUUCCGACCUCGAUAUGUGUAAUCGUCUUGCGCCAUAUGUACUGAGAUUGUUCGGGAGACAUGGUCCAAGCCCGGUACGAGGAUGACUUGUGCCUAGGA
This 470-nucleotide long non-coding RNA is filed under the name Helianthus annuus (common sunflower). Its description in RNAcentral is "sRNA HanXRQr2_Chr06g0271221". The stretch from base 1 to 193 matches the Rfam family "Bacterial small subunit ribosomal RNA", at positions 1388 to 1533 of the family's 1533-position model. Lineage: Eukaryota; Viridiplantae; Streptophyta; Magnoliopsida; Asterales; Asteraceae. The record is from RNAcentral.